Molecule: long non-coding RNA, 5017 nt
Organism: Dromaius novaehollandiae (emu)
Lineage: Eukaryota; Metazoa; Chordata; Aves; Casuariiformes; Dromaiidae
Exons: 3
Source: RefSeq, a predicted model, not a curated record
AUGCUAAAAAGGCUGGCUGGCUGCCUUGGCGAGCGCCGGGGGUGGAGGAGGAUGUCGGCAUGCAUGGUAGGAAAAGGAAAAGUGCAGCUGGAGCGCCAGGAGGGGCGUGGGACGAGUGCUAACACGGUGCCCUGCGCGAUGGCUGGAGCUGUCACACGUUUUCUCCUUAAGGAGAACUAUCCCGCGGAGCUGAGUUUAAGCCAUGCUACGUGCGGAGAUGAAACCCCGCAAAGCGGCUGAUUGGGGCAUUUAAGCAGAGCAUGUCCCACGGUCAGAGCUGGAGAAGGGGUGAGAGGGGGGACCAUUGCACCUGGCCUGGGAGCAGCUGGGCGCGGGGGACCUGCCUGAGGGGCCCCUCCGACACUUGAGCCGCUUGGGGCAAGUUUGGUUUUUGAUGCAGCAGGUUGUGCUCUGCGUGGUGGGAAAACCACGCUUCCCUCCCUGAGGGGCAGCAGCAAAGGCUGCCGAGCAAAACAGCAGCAGGGGAGGCCAGAGAAAUUAUUUUACUAGAGAGAUGCUCUCGUUCAGCUGCAUGGUUGCGUGCAUUUGGCUGUCCCACCUGCUUGCUGAGAUCAUUCUCGCCUGGGUAUAUCCUUAAUGCAGGAGACGCCUUUUGCAUAAACACACAUGAAAAUGAUGGGUUUGCUUUUACUUGUGGGAUGCAAUCCUGGAUGCCACCAAUAUCGUCUUUCCUAUGUCAUGCUGGAGCUGUGUUCAUGGGACCAGGAGUCACUCGGAGAGCUGGGAGCUGCUUCAUUUCGGGUCUGAGCUGUCAAAUUAAAGCAGUACAGUGUUAGCAUCAGCAUAAUGUCACAGCAGCAUAGGAAUGGCUCUGGCCAGAUACUUGGAGAGGUGCAGUUCCCCAAAGCCCCUUAUCCUCCAUGCCCAGCCCUGGGCUGACAGCUCACACCUUUCCCACUCUCAGGUGGGGUAUCCGGCUUCGACCCAAAACCGUCUCUUCCCAGCCGGAUGUGGAGAUGGUGGGGAUAUCCUACACCCAAACAAAAGGGAAACUUGGGGGCUGAAAAUGCAAACUUUUCCCACUCUGUUUGCUGAGCAAGCGCGUCUCCCCCAUAGGAGAGGAGGACAGCGAAGAAGACCUUGGUUUCCUUCCUGGGGAUGGAGGUGUGUCCCAGGCAAAUGGAGGGUGUUACAGCCAAUACCCCACUGGAAGGGUCACUGUGCUUUUCUACCAGGGAUGCUGCUACUGUCCUACUCCUUUACUGCUGUUUUCAGCUUAGGAUGUUCCAGUUCUGGUGUGUUUUAUCCAGUGUCUCUGCAGAUCUCCUCUCCUUGAGUGAUGCGCAGCCCAGAGCCCGAGAUGUUGCCCUGCGACCACCUCCACUGGGAGAAUGGACUGUUUCCCCAUCCUCUCCACUUCCCAUCAUUUAACCAGGAGUUACUGAUGCUCAAAGCAGUUUUGCAGCUCAGCUCGGCUCUCCCCUGCGUAAGGUGAGCCGUCUCCUCCGCCGGCGUCUGGAGUGCUGAGGGCUGUGAAGCAUCGAGCCCUGCUCCCCUCCUCGCUGCCUGCCGUGCUCCCACCGGCUCCGGACCACACAUCGGCUCCAGCUGGACGUGCAACGUAACGCAAAGUCCAGAGCCUCAAAGGCAGAUCGUCCUGGUGGCGCUGGGGCAGCUGCAAGCUGGAGUUACUGGCUAAAGGUGUAAUUUCAGGAAACCUUGUAAGGGCAGCUCUGCGGGGUUGGAUCUGGAUGUUUUCCCAGCUACACACCCACACCAGGCACGUUCAUCCCAGCGCUGAUUUUGGGGCGCUGUAAGAAAAGGCUUUGCCCUUUGAGUGCAAAUCCCAUUUUUUCUGGCUUUGGCAAUUCCUGAAUGAGCUGUAAGACGUUCAGGCUGACACUGAGCUCACCCACGCUAGCACUGGAUUGAGCAGAGCCUGAACCAGCGACUGAUGGCAUUUUUAAGCCCUGCAGAAAAGCGGUCAGUCUGAAAAUGCAAGUGUCAGCAAAACCGAAAGAAACCAGCUUAACAUCAGCUACUGAUAUUUUUAGUUUUAACGAAAGUGUAUCAUUCUCCUCCCUGUCUGACAGACCCACGUGGAGAACAGCAUCAUUCUGCUUCACCGCGUUUUAAAAGCCAGUGUGCUUUUACAAAGCCCAGACACAACUGCCACCUUAUUUCUUACACAGGCAGGACAGUGUUUGCAUAUAAAAUUGCUCUGUAGCCAUUAGAGCCCAUUUUUCUGCAGUACAUUGACUUGUGUGUGGCAUGGCUUAGCCUGGCACAUAGGGAUACUUUUGCCGAAUCCUUUCCACAGCUUUUCCUGGGCUGUCCAUAGGAAAGAGCAAGCUGCUCUCCAGCUGUGGUAUCUCCCAUGCUGAGCAGGAUAGUCCAUAACUGCUGGCUUGCAGUCACGUAACCUGCACCCCCGCUUGGUCCUUGCCCACCCCAGACCCCUGAAACAGCCUUGUUUGUGGCUGUAUCACCGGUUUGAUGGUGACUUUGCUUUUUCUCUUCAUUUUGCAGCUUUUGGCAAAUAUAAUCAGACUGAAAUUAUAGGAAAGUGAAAAUAUUAGGGUACCAGGUCUCAGGACCAGUAGGUGGUAUUGUCAACCCACCCCUUAAACUACAGGGACCGCUCACCAAUCACCAAAACGCAGCCUCCGCCAGUGCGGGACAGGCAUUGCUUGCCGGCACGCAGCGGCAUUGCACGGCAGCUUGGGAGAUCCAGCGGAGGUCGGUGUUAGGUCAGUCUGAAACCAGCGGGAACCUCAGGGAGCAAAACGAAAGCAGCCAAAGUCAGGGUUUCACCCCAGCCUUGGGGCCAGAAAGCCUGUGUGUGACCCUGCGGACGGCAGUGAGCUGAGCCACAGUUGAAAAUCUGAGCGCAGCUCUGCAGUCCCCGGUGUUGCCCCGGGAGAGGGAUGGCAAAUUGCCCCAUGGCCAGAUGGGGGGGACUCAUCCCAGAGAAGGAGGACAGCCUGGCCCGAGCUGGCAUAGACCUUCUGCCCUUUCUGCCCGACCUCCCAACAGGAACAUCUGCAUCUCCCCUCUUGUCCAGGAGGAUAGUAUUUUAGAGAUGAAAUCUUUCUCCAUGGGAAACCCCCUUCGGGCUGAUGCAAAUACUCGUUAGCUUUCUUUCCAGCCAUCAGGCCUUCUGCAAUUUCUGUUUCCUCUCCGGGUGCCUGGCUCCAAGUGCUUUUGCAAGGAUCAGAUUCAGCUAUGCUGGGAAAUUCCUGAUAGACUCCGGGAAGGCUCUCUUACUUAUGAGUGGGCUGAAUUUAGGUAGCAAUGCCCCUAGCACGUCCCUCCUGCUGCUGGCUGAUGCUGGACAUGACUCAUUCCUCCAUCCGCAUCCACUUCAAAGACAGGUUAUCAUUGCCCUGCUGCAAGCUGGAUAAAGAGAUAUCAAGGCAAGCCAAGGUGUCUGACCAUCUCUGCAGUCAAACCUUUGAUCACUUACAAGCCCUUGGCAUCAAACGUGUCGGAAAACCACCACGGCAAAGAUCCUGUAAUUCCAAAAAGGGAUACAGAGAACAAGAUAUUUUUACAUCUCAAAACUCUAUCAUUCCCAGGAAGUUGAGCCAGUUUGGGAUGAAGCAGCAUCUCCAGAGGUGUGGUCCCUGCAUCCCUGGGGUCACCCGGGACCAGCAGGCUGAGGACAUGGGGAGCUGGGAGCCGACCCAGCUCAGCCUGCCCGAGAGCCUCGUCCCUGCGCCGGCUGCCUCGGCGCCUGCGAGAAGUCCCACGGGAGGCAGAUGUGAGCUAACCUGCCCCGGGAGCUUUCACCGUGACGCUAGCGGUUGGCUUAAACCAUGGAGUGAGAGGCUGGUGCAUCCCCCGAGGACCUUACCUGCAGUGCUCGAUGCUCACAUUACAUCUCUGGCUCAUCCUCACAAGAUAAUAGUAACCAAGAGCUGUUUUUCCCCUCCUCCGUGAAGGUUUUUGAGUUAUUGAGCCUCUCUCGCUUGCUGUGGCAGCAGGCAGCUCUCAAGGGCUCCCUCUGCAAGCGGAGCCUCUGACUGAGCCUGUGUCCAAGUGGCCAAAAGCUCACUGCAGACCAGUCACCUCCGGCCCUUAUUUCUUCACCCAGCACAGGAUGAGGUCACCAGCUUGAAUGUGGGGCAGCCUGAAAGGAGAGCACCCUUUUCCCCCUCACUCUUCCUACGUUUCGACCAUCUCCCAGCCCGUUCAGCCCAGGUUCAGCUGCGGCACCAAGCAGCCCGUCGUCCCCCGGCUGCGCUUUGCAGUUUCCAGCCUGUGCCGUCGGCUCGGCAGAUGGAGCUGCUUCCCCAGGCCGCGCCGUGGGCUGCGGAGCUGGUGGAAAGCGCAGUUUCUCCUCCGUCCGCUUGGGAAGAAGGAGGUUGUUCAUAGGCGAGGACGUGAGCAGGACUUUCCACUCCCAGCUCCUACAACAGUUAGGACCGAAAGACCGAUGGAGCAAAUGGCUUUACUCACAGUACUGAGGGUCUGGGACUCUCUGCAUAAGGAAAAUCCCAGGGACCUGCUGUAGUAAGAUCCCCCAAGGCCGAGGGUGGAGGCCAAUGAUAGCCUGCUCCAGGCCUUUCUCCUCACUGGAGGCGCCGGGAGUCCCCCCAGGCUCGGUGCCGGGUGCAUGCAGCACAGCGGCCGGUAUCAUCCCUGCUUCAGGACACCAUAUUCAAUAUUUUCCCAGUUUACCCUGAGAGGGGAUGUGGACUGAGACCUGACAAACUCGUGCCACGUGUGCCAAGUGAUUGGCAGAGCUGCUGGGGUUAGACCUGACCUGGCAGGUCAGGUGCCUAAUCUGCUGCAGCUCCCGUCUUGGCUCUGCCUCCCACCUUGCCUGCAGCAACAGCAGAGACCUCCCUUGUCGUCUCAUCCAAGCACGUAGGAAGGGGACCUGUGAGCAAACCUGCCCCCGGAGCCCCCGGGAGUAAACCCCGCGCGAAGGUCCGGCCUGGCCCAACGCCUGCACGUGCCAGGGGAAACGAUACCUGCUGGGGGCUGCUUUGGUUUUGCGUGUGCUUUCUCCUAAAGCCCCAUUUUAAGUGGUUUAAAAAGGGUUAGUAAA